Molecule: ribosomal RNA, 253 nt
Filed under: uncultured bacterium
Lineage: Bacteria
Description: partial 16S ribosomal RNA
Rfam family: Bacterial small subunit ribosomal RNA
Source: RNAcentral
UACAGGGGGUGCAAACGUUGCUCGGAAUUAUUGGGCGUAAAGCGCGCGUAGGCGGCUACUUAAGUCGGAUGUGAAAUCCCAUGGCUCAACCAUGGACGUGCAUUCGAAACUGCGAAGCUUGAGUAUGGAAGAGGGUCGCGGAAUUCCCGGUGUAGAGGUGAAAUUCGUAGAUAUCGGGAGGAACACCAGUGGCGAAGGCGGCGACCUGGGCCAAUACUGACGCUGAGGUGCGAAAGCGUGGGGAGCAAACAGG